This 253-nucleotide ribosomal RNA is filed under the name uncultured bacterium. RNAcentral describes it as "partial 16S ribosomal RNA". It matches the Rfam family "Bacterial small subunit ribosomal RNA", at positions 524 to 776 of the family's 1533-position model. The record is from RNAcentral.
UACGUAGGGUGCGAGCGUUAAUCGGAAUUACUGGGCGUAAAGCGUGCGCAGGCGGUAAGUUAAGUCUGAUGUGAAAGCCCCGGGCUCAACCUGGGAAUGGCAUUGGAAACUGGCUUGCUAGAGUGUGGCAGAGGGGGGUGGAAUUCCGCGUGUAGCAGUGAAAUGCGUAGAGAUGCGGAGGAAUACCGAUGGCGAAGGCAGCCCCCUGGGCCGACACUGACGCUCAGGCACGAAAGCGUGGGGAGCAAACAGG